Long non-coding RNA from Cyprinus carpio carpio, 1617 nucleotides. The record is from Ensembl. NCBI's taxonomy places the organism in Eukaryota, Metazoa, Chordata, Actinopteri, Cypriniformes, Cyprinidae.
CAGGCUGUGGCACAUCCACACGUAUCUCGCAGCCAGUGCUGCUGUGUGUCCCUCUCCUAAUAGUAUCUUUAUUUGUUCUGUUUCACUAAUGGCUGUAAAGUUCUUUAUUAAGUUGGUGCAUUUGUUGAAGUAGAGGUUUCUUAUGGAUAUGUAUUUCUGACAGUGAAGGAGGAAGUGCGUCUCUGUCUUGAUCUCUCCUGUCUGACAGUGAGCACACACUCUCUGCUCUCUGGGUAACCAGCUCUUUCUGUGUCUGCCCGUCUCGAUGGCUAGACUGUGCUCACCGAGCCUGUACUUGCUCAGGAUCCGUCUCUGCUUUGUGUCUCUGACACUAUGGAGAUAAUCUUCCAAUUUAUAAUUUUUUUAUUUUAGAGUUCGAUAGAAUUGUUUUAGUUUCCUGGUCCCAGUGUUCCAGAUAUGUAUUUUUAGACUGUUUGAUAAUUAGAUUUAUUUUGAUGUUUGGGUGAGAAGCAGUGCUAUAGCCUUUGAUUAUUUAAUAUUAUUAUUUCUUCACACAUAUCUUGUUAUUAAAGGCAACACACUCAUGCUAUUCUAUUUACAUUUUAAAUUAUCUAAAUAUAGUGUGGACAAAUAAUGAAUUUGUUUUCCCUUUAGAAAAGUCAUGUUGACUUUCCACAAAUACUCAUUCUACAAUUGAGCCCCUUCCGACAUGACCACCGUCGAGUAAGAAUUCCUGCAAAAACUGAGGUUUACUUCCAACAAUAUGAGCUUUAUGCCAUAAUAAACCUUUAUGGAUCACUGAAAGAUGGACACUAUAAUACUAACAUCAAAUCUGACAAUCAGAACUGGUAUCGAUGUAAUGACAGCCAUGUAUUUCAGAACAGAACAGAAGCGGUGCGCUCGAUGAAAGAGAGAAAGCGGACAGAAGAAGCAGUGAAAUGUAGCAUCACUGACCUGUUCAGGGCUUCAACUGCAGAUUCCUGACCUGAUGUUUUCAGAACGUAAGGAUAUAUUGUGGAAGAUUCAAGAGUUUUUUUGGUCUUCAUCUUCAGAUUCAUGCCAUUCACACUCACACAGCUCUGCCUAUCUACUCUUUUACAAAAAGUGUGAAAAAGUGUAAAAGUGGAUUGACUGAAUCAGUAAAAAGACACAGAGCAGAAUAUCAUCAUUUAGGGUGAAAAAUGCUAUAUAAGCAGAAUUUAACCAGGCUCAAAGGCUUCCAGUAAAUGACUGUGAAUGUAUUUAUAAAUCUCUCUGCUCAACAGCUGAUGAAUUGAAACAGGUGCGUCACAAACAUAUAUAAGUGUCGUGCUGUUGUCAGGAUUAAGAAGGACUGGUCUGCUUAAUGUAUAUGCUUCGAAGACAAUUUUCAGUUUGAAUAUUGAUGUCAUUUAUUUUCGUGCAUGUAGUAAGACAUAUUUUAUAGGCAUCGUAUUAAUCAAACUAUAUAAUGAUUAAGUGUUAAUAAGAGAAGUCCCAUUAUCUGCUACUAAGUAUGUAGAAUUAUUAUCAAUUACACUGCUGUAAAAGGAUGUAGUUUGGAAUAAUAUGUAUUCAUGUAAAGGAGUAUUCAUUUUUAUUAUAUCAAAAGUUGGUAUUGUGAACGCAUAAGAUGAAAUAUGUCACAUAAAUAUAUUUGUGUUACAUAAAAUAACC